ACUACGUACGACUACGUUGAUCGACUACGUACUACUACGUGAUCGUCUUCUCUGCACCGACGCAUAUCUACAUCUUCCGCACCAGUAGUGCGUCGAGUGGUAAUCCCGUGAUCCUUAUACGGCAGUUCUUCCUAGUUAUACGCGGUAGAAAAUUUUGAUUUGCGCUAGCGUAGCCUACCUCGUAUCCCAACAGUGGUAUCAGAGCCGUAGCUGCUUAGUUUUGGAUUCGGGAUGUGUGCAUAUGGAGAUAUGCGAGUUCUCUGUUUGAUCUAUGUCCUGAUUUCGUGCCCUUGCUGCAAUGGUAGUGUAACGACAUACUCCUACCGGUCGGUUUCCGCCAUCGGAGUUAAGUGAUACACGUAAAUCCAGUUGCAGUGAGCGAAGAUCAAUAUGAUUUGUCGAAUCGAGAUCCAGG
Molecule: long non-coding RNA, 415 nt
Filed under: Setaria italica (foxtail millet)
Lineage: Eukaryota; Viridiplantae; Streptophyta; Magnoliopsida; Poales; Poaceae
Description: long non-coding RNA (SITA_LNC002192)
Source: RNAcentral